AUUAAUAAGCGGAGGAAAAGAAACUAACGAGGAUGCCCUCAGUAACGGCGAGCGAAGCGGGCAGAGCCCAGCACCGAAUCCCCUGCCGCACGGCAGCGGGAACUGUGGUGUUUAGGACAACCUCGGGGAAGCGGUCUGGCGUCCAAGUCCUCCUGAUAGGGGCUUCAUCCAGAGCGGGUGUUAGACCUUUACGGCGCCGGGACGUUUCUCGCGGGAAGUCCCACGAGUCGGGUUGUUUGAGAAUGCAGCCCAAAGCGGGUGGUAGACUCCAUCUAAGGCUAAAUACGGUCACGAGUCCGAUAGCGCACAAGUACCGUGAGGGAAAGUU
RNAcentral lists this ribosomal RNA (328 nucleotides) under Haplotaxis cf. gordioides. Its description in RNAcentral is "eukaryotic LSU rRNA". It matches the Rfam family "Eukaryotic large subunit ribosomal RNA", at positions 42 to 365 of the family's 3401-position model. The record is from RNAcentral. Lineage: Eukaryota; Metazoa; Annelida; Clitellata; Haplotaxida; Haplotaxidae.